Molecule: ribosomal RNA, 469 nt
Filed under: uncultured soil bacterium
Lineage: Bacteria
Description: bacterial SSU rRNA
Rfam family: Bacterial small subunit ribosomal RNA
Source: RNAcentral
AGCCGGCUCCCGCAAGGCUUGAUGUCGAGGUGCUGCAUGGCUGUCUUCAGCUCGUGUCGUGAGAUGUGGGUUAAGUCCCGCAACGAGCGCAACCCUUGUCCGCUGUUGCCAUCACGUUAUGGUGGGCACUCUGCGGAGACUGCCGGUGAUAAACCGGAGGAAGGUGGGGAUGACGUCAAGUCAGCAUGGCCUUUAUGUCUGGGGCUACACACGUGCUACAAUGGCCGGUACAAACCGUCGCGAUACCGCAAGGUGGAGCUAAUCGGAGAAAGCCGGUCUCAGUUCGGAUUGCAGGCUGCAACUCGCCUGCAUGAAGUUGGAAUCGCUAGUAAUCGCGGAUCAGCACGCCGCGGUGAAUACGUUCCCGGGCCUUGUACACACCGCCCGUCACAUCACGAAAGCUGGCUGUACUAGAAGUCACUGAGCUAACCCGCGAGGGAGGCAAGUGCCUAAGGUAUGGUCAGUGAUU